GCGGACGGGUGAGUAAUGUCUGGGAAACUGCCUGAUGGAGGGGGAUAACUACUGGAAACGGUAGCUAAUACCGCAUAACGUCGCAAGACCAAAGAGGGGGACCUUCGGGCCUCUUGCCAUCGGAUGUGCCCAGAUGGGAUUAGCUGUAGGUGGGGUAAGGCUCACCUAGGCGACGAUCCCUAGCUGGUCUGAGAGGAUGACCAGCCACACUGGAACUGAGACACGGUCCAGACUCCUACGGGAGGCAGCAUG
Molecule: ribosomal RNA, 252 nt
Filed under: uncultured bacterium
Lineage: Bacteria
Description: partial 16S ribosomal RNA
Rfam family: Bacterial small subunit ribosomal RNA
Source: RNAcentral